RNAcentral lists this ribosomal RNA (465 nucleotides) under uncultured bacterium. RNAcentral describes it as "partial 16S ribosomal RNA". It matches the Rfam family "Bacterial small subunit ribosomal RNA", at positions 28 to 507 of the family's 1533-position model. The record is from RNAcentral.
GACGAACGCUGGCGGCGUGCUUAACACAUGCAAGUCGAACGGAAAGGCCCUGCUUGCAGGGUACUCGAGUGGCGAACGGGUGAGUAACACGUGGGUGAUCUGCCCUGCACUUCGGGAUAAGCCUGGGAAACUGGGUCUAAUACCGGAUAGGAGCCAUUUUUAGUGUGAUGGUUGGAAAGUUUUUUCGGUGUAGGAUGAGCUCGCGGCCUAUCAGCUUGUUGGUGGGGUAAUGGCCUACCAAGGCGGCGACGGGUAGCCGGCCUGAGAGGGUGGACGGCCACAUUGGGACUGAGAUACGGCCCAGACUCCUACGGGAGGCAGCAGCGGGGAAUAUUGCACAAUGGGCGCAAGCCUGAUGCAGCGACGCCGCGUGGGGGAUGACGGCCUUCGGGUUGUAAACCCCUUUCGCUAGGGACGAAGCUUUUUGUGACGGUACCUAGAUAAGAAGCACCGGCUAACUACGUG